UGGGGAAUAUUGGACAAUGGGGGCAACCCUGAUCCAGCCAUGCCGCGUGAGUGAUGAAGGCCCUAGGGUUGUAAAGCUCUUUUGUGCGGGAAGAUAAUGACGGUACCGCAAGAAUAAGCCCCGGCUAACUUCGUGCCAGCAGCCGCGGUAAUACGAAGGGGGCUAGCGUUGCUCGGAAUCACUGGGCGUAAAGGGUGCGUAGGCGGGUCUUUAAGUCAGGGGUGAAAUCCUGGAGCUCAACUCCAGAACUGCCUUUGAUACUGAGGAUCUUGAGUCCGGAAGA
Molecule: ribosomal RNA, 283 nt
Filed under: uncultured Afipia sp.
Lineage: Bacteria; Pseudomonadati; Pseudomonadota; Alphaproteobacteria; Hyphomicrobiales; Nitrobacteraceae
Description: partial 16S ribosomal RNA
Rfam family: Bacterial small subunit ribosomal RNA
Source: RNAcentral